CACGUAGUUAGCCGGUGCUUAUUCUUCCGGUACCGUCAUCCCCCGACUGUAUUAGAGCCAAGGAUUUCUUUCCGGACAAAAGUGCUUUACAACCCGAAGGCCUUCUUCACACACGCGGCAUUGCUGGAUCAGGCUUUCGCCCAUUGUCCAAAAUUCCCCACUGCUGCCUCCCGUAGGAGUCUGGGCCGUGUCUCAGUCCCAGUGUGGCUGGUCGUCCUCUCAGACCAGCUACUGAUCGUCGCCUUGGUAGGCCUUUACCCCACCAACUAGCUAAUCAGCCAUCGGCCAACCCUAUAGCGCGAGGCCCGAAGGUCCCCCGCUUUCAUCCGUAGAUCGUAUGCGGUAUUAAUCCGGCUUUCGCCGGGCUAUCCCCCACUACAGGACAUGUUCCGAUGUAUUACUCACCCGUUCGCCACUCGCCACCAGGUGCAAGCACCCGUGCUGCCGUUCGACUUGCAUGUGUAAGGCAUGCCGCCAGCGUUCAAUCUGAGCCAGGAUCAAACUCU
Molecule: ribosomal RNA, 506 nt
Filed under: uncultured Burkholderia sp.
Lineage: Bacteria; Pseudomonadati; Pseudomonadota; Betaproteobacteria; Burkholderiales; Burkholderiaceae
Description: partial 16S ribosomal RNA
Source: RNAcentral